AUACGGAGGGUGCAAGCGUUGUUCGGAAUCACUGGGCGUAAAGGGCGCGCAGGCGGUUUGGUAAGUCAGAUGUGAAAGCCCACGGCUCAACCGUGGAAGUGCAUUUGAAACUGCCAGACUUGAGUACCAGAGGGGAAAGUGGAAUUCCCGGUGUAGAGGUGAAAUUCGUAGAUAUCGGGAGGAAUACCGGUGGCGAAGGCUACUUUCUGGCUGGAUACUGACGCUGAGGCGCGAAAGCGUGGGGAGCAAACAGGAUUAGAAACCCCGGUAGUCC
RNAcentral lists this ribosomal RNA (274 nucleotides) under uncultured bacterium. Its description in RNAcentral is "partial 16S ribosomal RNA". It matches the Rfam family "Bacterial small subunit ribosomal RNA", at positions 523 to 796 of the family's 1533-position model. The record is from RNAcentral.